AUUAGAACGCUGGCGGCAUGCCUUACACAUGCAAGCCGAACGGCAGCACGGGAGCUUGCUCCUGGUGGCGAGUGGCGAACGGGUGAGUAAUACAUCGGAACGUACCCUGAAGUGGGGAUAACGUAGGCGAAAAGUUACGCUAAAUACCGCAUAUUCUGUGAGCAGGAAAGAGGGGGAUCGCAAGACCUCUUGCUUUAGGAGCGGCCGAUGUCGGAUUAGCUAGUUGGUGAGGUAAAGGCUCACCAAGGCGACGAUCCGUAGCGGGUCUGAGAGGAUGAUCCGCCACACUGGGACUGAGACACGGCCCAGACUCCUACGGGAGGCAGCAGUGGGGAAUUUUGGACAAUGGGCGGC
This 354-nucleotide ribosomal RNA is filed under the name uncultured bacterium. Its description in RNAcentral is "bacterial SSU rRNA". It matches the Rfam family "Bacterial small subunit ribosomal RNA", at positions 31 to 379 of the family's 1533-position model. The record is from RNAcentral.